Molecule: ribosomal RNA, 305 nt
Filed under: uncultured bacterium
Lineage: Bacteria
Description: bacterial SSU rRNA
Rfam family: Bacterial small subunit ribosomal RNA
Source: RNAcentral
CUUACCUACGGGAGGCAGCAGUGGGGAAUAUUGCACAAUGGGGGAAACCCUGAUGCAGCGACGCCGCGUGAGCGAAGAAGUAUUUCGGUAUGUAAAGCUCUAUCAGCAGGGAAGAAAAUGACGGUACCUGACUAAGAAGCCCCGGCUAAAUACGUGCCAGCAGCCGCGGUAAUACGUAUGGGGCAAGCGUUAUCCGGAUUUACUGGGUGUAAAGGGGGCGCAGACGGCGAUGCAAGCCAGGAGUGAAAGCCCGGGGCCCAACCCCAGGACUGCUCUUGGAACUGCGUGGCUGGGGUGCAGGAGGG